RNAcentral lists this long non-coding RNA (387 nucleotides) under Gallus gallus (chicken). Lineage: Eukaryota; Metazoa; Chordata; Aves; Galliformes; Phasianidae. The record is from RNAcentral.
ACAGAUGCACCGCCCAACGGACAGACGGCCAUGCAGACAGACAGCCACAGCCCCGCUAGCAGCCCAGCCAGGGGUCCAUGCGGCUCUUGCGGGCGAGGAAGGAGAUCUUGCGUGCCAUCUCGGCGUUGUAGACACGCCGGCACGCCUCGUAGGCCAAGCGCUGCCUCUUGCGGCACGGCUUCUCGUAGUAACGCCGCUGCUUCACCGACUCAAUGAUGCCGUCCUGCGAGAGGAUCCUGCUCAGAGCCCCAUAGGCCGCAUCCACGUUGCCAUUUUGCACCAUGACGGUGCGGCCGAUGAAGCGGAGGUGAUUCGCCAUGGCCGAGGGGCUCCGCAGAGGGACGGAGCCGCCCCGGGAGCUCCCCGUGCCCCAGGAACCACCGGGAC